GGGUCAUCUUCACCUGGUGAAUGAAAGGAUGUGGAUACUCGUGCGUUGCUGGGUGACGGCCGUAACUCUCCAUGGCGACGGCGACGGCGGCGGGAAGCAAAGACGCUGACAGGAGUCCAACGUGACUGCUACCAUGGAUGUUGCAGAAGAGUGCAGACGACUACAAAUUAGUGGAUCACAAUUUACUUUAAAAAAAAAAAAAAAAAAAAGGUCUACCUGAGUGCCACCUGCCAUGUUGAACCACCGUAGUUUCUCCUUCACACUAGGAAGGAGAAACUACACACACACUGGUCCUUUUAAAAUAGAUUAAUUUAGCUUGUCAACAUAAUAAAAAGGCACUUUUAGUUUGUUUACUGAUCACACCAUAUGUCUGUCAGUAAUCUAACAUUUAUUAUUUAACAAGCACAACACAACUCUGUUUUCCUCGGACACGUUUAUUGACACAGUUGAAAAAAACAUUUGAAUUCGGCCAAUAAGGAUUCACUUUCACAGAGCGUAAUCAGUAUAAAUUAAACAGACCUAUAAAUUAUAAACAGGGUUAGUAAAUGUUGCUGACUUUAGCGUGCUGAAAUCAUGUUUCACU
Molecule: long non-coding RNA, 583 nt
Organism: Larimichthys crocea (large yellow croaker)
Lineage: Eukaryota; Metazoa; Chordata; Actinopteri; Sciaenidae
Exons: 2
Source: RefSeq, a predicted model, not a curated record